Molecule: ribosomal RNA, 252 nt
Filed under: uncultured bacterium
Lineage: Bacteria
Description: partial 16S ribosomal RNA
Rfam family: Bacterial small subunit ribosomal RNA
Source: RNAcentral
UACAGAGGUCUCAAGCGUUGUUCGGAUUCAUUGGGCGUAAAGGGUGUGUAGGUGGCGCGCUAAGUCGGGUGUGAAAUUUCGGAGCUUAACUCCGAAACUGCAUUCGAUACUGGCGUGCUUGAGGACUGGAGAGGAGACUGGAAUUCAUGGUGUAGCAGUGAAAUGCGUAGAGAUCAUGAGGAACACCGGGGCGAAGGCGGCUACCUGGACAGUGACUGACGCUGAGACGCGAAAGCGUGGGGAGCAAACAGG